CCCUAGUAGCGGCGAGCGAAGCGGGAAGAGCUCAAAUUUAUAAUCUGGCACCUUCGGUGUCCGAGUUGUAAUCUCUAGAAAUGUUUUCCGCGUUGGACCGCACACAAGUCUGUUGGAAUACAGCGGCAUAGUGGUGAGACCCCCGUAUAUGGUGCGGACGCCCAGCGCUUUGUGAUACAUUUUCGAAGAGUCGAGUUGUUUGGGAAUGCAGCUCAAAUUGGGUGGUAAAUUCCAUCUAAAGCUAAAUAUUGGCGAGAGACCGAUAGCGAACAAGUACCGUGAGGGAAAGAUGAAAAGCACUUUGGAAAGAGAGUUAACAGUACGUGAAAUUGUUGGAAGGGAAACGCUUGAAGUCAGACUUGCUUGCCGAGCAAUCGGUUUGCAGGCCAGCAUCAGUUUUCCGGGAUGGAUAAUGGUAGAGAGAAGGUAGCAGUUUCGGCUGUGUUAUAGCUCUCUGCUGGAUACAUCUUGGGGGACUGAGGAACGCAGUGUGCCUUUGGCGGGGGUUUCGACCUCUUCACACUUAGGAUGC
RNAcentral lists this ribosomal RNA (532 nucleotides) under Rhodotorula mucilaginosa. RNAcentral's name for it is "partial large subunit ribosomal RNA". It matches the Rfam family "Eukaryotic large subunit ribosomal RNA", at positions 78 to 626 of the family's 3401-position model. Lineage: Eukaryota; Fungi; Basidiomycota; Microbotryomycetes; Sporidiobolales; Sporidiobolaceae. The record is from RNAcentral.